CCGAGAUGCCCUCGGCACUUAAGUGAAAAGUGGCGAUGUCAGGGGCCUUGGCGCCAUUGCCAAAGGCGACAAUGCCGGAGCGGAUGUAGAUACCCUUAGGGUCGCGGGUACCCUCCGAGACGCCACCCGUGUUGAUAAUCCGAACGUUCUGGCAUGCGAGCACAGAUGUGGGUGGGAAGGCAGGUUUACAACCCACGAACAACCAUAAGGCAGGUAAACGGGCCGAGGAUAGGGAUCGAACAGAAAGCAAAACGGAAAACCGAAAUAAAGCAAGACUCUAAGAUUACGCACUUUGCCGAGCAUAACGAGCUCCCUAGCACACUUUCGCCUACUCUUUCUGCCACAUGCUUACAGAGCUCGCGGUACGGAAUACCCCAAAAUCUUUCCGUCAAAAGGAAGGCUGGGGUUGGGGCAUUACAGUGCCUUAAGGCGGCAGGGUCUGAG
This 444-nucleotide long non-coding RNA is filed under the name Volvox carteri. Its description in RNAcentral is "long non-coding RNA (VCAR_LNC001895)". The record is from RNAcentral. Lineage: Eukaryota; Viridiplantae; Chlorophyta; Chlorophyceae; Chlamydomonadales; Volvocaceae.